This 217-nucleotide ribosomal RNA is filed under the name uncultured Saccharomycetes. RNAcentral describes it as "partial 18S ribosomal RNA". It matches the Rfam family "Eukaryotic small subunit ribosomal RNA", at positions 848 to 1066 of the family's 1831-position model. The record is from RNAcentral. Lineage: Eukaryota; Fungi; Ascomycota; Saccharomycetes.
UUCUAGGACCCAUCGUAAUGAUAAUAGGACGGUCGGGGGCAUCAGUAUUCAAUUGUCAGAGGUGAAAUUCUUGGAUUUAUUGAAGACUAACUACUGCGAAAGCAUUUGCCAAGGACGUUUUCAUUAAUCAAGAACGAAAGUUAGGGGAUCGAAGAUGAUCAGAUACCGUCGUAGUCUUAACCAUAAACUAUGCCGACUAGGGAUCGGGUGGUGUUUU